CACACUGGGACUGAGACACGGCCCAGACUCCUACGGGAGGCAGCAGUGGGGAAUAUUGCACAAUGGGCGGAAGCCUGAUGCAGCAACGCCGCGUGAGGGAUGACGGCCUUCGGGUUGUAAACCUCUUUUAGCAGGGAAGAAGCAUGAGUGACGGUACCUGCAGAAAAAGCGCCGGGCUAACUACGUGCCAGCAGCCGCGGUAAUACGUAGGGCGCAAGCGUUAUCGGGAAUUAUUGGGCGUAAAGAGCUCGUAGGCGGUUUGUCGCGUCUGCUGUGAAAUCCCGAGGCUCAACUUCGGGUCUGCAGUGGGUACGGGCAGACUAGAGUGCGGUAGGGGAGAUUGGAAUUCCUGGUGUAGCGGUGGAAUGCGCAGAUAUCAGGAGGAACACCGAUGGCGAAGGCAGAUCUCUGGGCCGUAACUGACGCUGAGGAGCGAAAGGGUGGGGAGCAAACAGGCUUAGAUACCCUGGUAGUCCACCCCGUAAACGUUGGGAACUAGUUGUGGGGACCAUUCCACGGUUUCCGUGACGCAGCUAACGCAUUAAGUUCCCCGCCUGGGGAGUACGGCCGCAAGGCUAAAACUCAAAGGAAUUGACGGGGACCCGCACAAGCGGCGGAGCAUGCGGAUUAAUUCGAUGCAACGCGAAGAACCUUACCAAGGCUUGACAUACACCAGAACGGGCCAGAAAUGGUCAACUCUUUGGACACUGGUGAACAGGUGGUGCAUGGUUGUCGUCAGCUCGUGUCGUGAGAUGUUGGGUUAAGUCCCGCAACGAGCGCAACCCUCCUUCUAUGUUGCCAGCACGUUAUGGUGGGAACUCAUGGGAUACUGCCGGGGUCAACUCGGAGGAAGGUGGGGAUGACGUCAAAUCAUCAUGCCCCUUAUGUCUUGGGCUUCACGCAUGCUACAAUGGCCGGUACAAAGGGCUGCAAUACCGUGAGGUGGAGCGAAUCCCAAAAAGCCGGUCCCAGUUCGGAUUGAGGUCUGCAACUCGACCUCAUGAAGUCGGAGUCGCUAGUAAUCGCAGAUCAGCAACGCUGCGGUGAAUACGUUCCCGGGUCUUGUACACUCCGCCCGUCAAGUCAUGAAUGUCGGUAACACCCGAAGCCGGGAGCUCUUACCCCUGUGCUCCCGACGAUCCGUCAGCGGGCAUCG
RNAcentral lists this ribosomal RNA (1156 nucleotides) under Microbacterium sp. RNAcentral's name for it is "bacterial SSU rRNA". It matches the Rfam family "Bacterial small subunit ribosomal RNA", at positions 309 to 1455 of the family's 1533-position model. The record is from RNAcentral. Lineage: Bacteria; Bacillati; Actinomycetota; Actinomycetes; Micrococcales; Microbacteriaceae.